AACUUGUCCAAAAACCAAGAUGCUGAAAAUAGUAUUUGUAAUGACCCGACCCACUAGCAACAAUAACUCGUUGGGCCCAAACCAUCGGCCCAAAAUGCUUAAGCCCAGUUAUUAUUAUUAGGGUGUAGGCCUUAUAUAAACCGAUCGAAAUCAGUAUCCCACCCGAUGUGGGACUAUUGGGGGCGUUACAGUAUUCCCCAAGCCUCUUA
This 209-nucleotide long non-coding RNA is filed under the name Ananas comosus (pineapple). RNAcentral describes it as "long non-coding RNA (ACOM_LNC015343)". The record is from RNAcentral. Lineage: Eukaryota; Viridiplantae; Streptophyta; Magnoliopsida; Poales; Bromeliaceae.